Molecule: ribosomal RNA, 491 nt
Filed under: uncultured bacterium
Lineage: Bacteria
Description: partial 16S ribosomal RNA
Rfam family: Bacterial small subunit ribosomal RNA
Source: RNAcentral
GAUGAACGCUGGCUACAGGCUUAACACAUGCAAGUCGAGGGGAAACGCCGGGGAAGCUUGCUUCCCCGGGCGUCGACCGGCGCACGGGUGAGUAACGCGUAUCCAACCUGCCUCUGACUGAGGGAUAACCCGUCGAAAGUCGGCCUAAUACCUCAUGGCAUCGUCUGCGGGCAUCCAACGACGAUUAAAGAUUUCAUCGUUCAUAGAUGGGGAUGCGUCUGAUUAGCUUGUUGGCGGGGUAACGGCCCACCAAGGCGACGAUCAGUAGGGGUUCUGAGAGGAAGGUCCCCCACAUUGGAACUGAGACACGGACCAAACUCCUACGGGAGGCAGCAGUGAGGAAUAUUGGUCAAGGGGCGAGAGCCUGAACCAGCCAAGUAGCGUGCAGGAGGACGGCCCUAUGGGUUGUAAACUGCUUUUAUGCGGGGAUAAAGUGAGGGACGUGUCCUUCAUUGAAGGUACCGAAUGAAUAAGGACCGGCUAAUUCCGUG